Molecule: ribosomal RNA, 498 nt
Filed under: uncultured bacterium
Lineage: Bacteria
Description: partial 16S ribosomal RNA
Rfam family: Bacterial small subunit ribosomal RNA
Source: RNAcentral
ACGAACGCUGGCGGCGUGCCUAAUACAUGCAAGUCGAGCGGACUGAUUAAGAGCUUGCUCUUAUGACGUUAGCGGCGGACGGGUGAGUAACACGUGGGCAACCUGCCCUGUAGAUCGGGAUAACACCGAGAAAUCGGUGCUAAUACCGGGUAAUAUCUGAGAUCACAUGAUCUUAGGUUAAAAGAUGGCUCCGGCUAUCACUACAGGAUGGGCCCGCGGCGCAUUAGCUAGUUGGUAAGGUAAUGGCUUACCAAGGCGACGAUGCGUAGCCGACCUGAGAGGGUGAUCGGCCACACUGGGACUGAGACACGGCCCAGACUCCUACGGGAGGCAGCAGUAGGGAAUCUUCCGCAAUGGACGAAAGUCUGACGGAGCAACGCCGCGUGAGUGAUGAAGGGUUUCGGCUCGUAAAGCUCUGUUGUUAGGGAAGAAACAGUACCGAACGAACUAGGUCGGUACCUUGACGGUACCUAACCAGAAAGCCACGGCUAACUACGU